Small nucleolar RNA from Impatiens glandulifera, 94 nucleotides. RefSeq annotates it as small nucleolar RNA Z43. The record is from RefSeq and is a predicted model, not a curated record. The transcript has a single exon. NCBI's taxonomy places the organism in Eukaryota, Viridiplantae, Streptophyta, Magnoliopsida, Ericales, Balsaminaceae.
GGACUAUGACGAUUAUAUGAUUGGUCUCGUUCGACGUAAUGGCAGAAAUGCCUUGACGACCAUACUGAUAUAUCACCACCCAUAAACUGAGUCC